GAUUGAACGCUGGCGGCAUGCCUUACACAUGCAAGUCGAACGGCAGCACGGGUGCUUGCACCUGGUGGCGAGUGGCGAACGGGUGAGUAAUACAUCGGAACAUGUCCUGUAGUGGGGGAUAGCCCGGCGAAAGCCGGAUUAAUACCGCAUACGAUCUACGGAUGAAAGCGGGGGACCUUCGGGCCUCGCGCUAUAGGGUUGGCCGAUGGCUGAUUAGCUAGUUGGUGGGGUAAAGGCCUACCAAGGCGACGAUCAGUAGCUGGUCUGAGAGGACGACCAGCCACACUGGGGCUGAGACACGGCCCAGACUCCUACGGGAGGCAGCAGUGGGGAAUUUUGGACAAUGGGCGAAAGCCUGAUCCAGCAAUGCCGCGUGUGUGAAGAAGGCCUUCGGGUUGUAAAGCACUUUUGUCCGGAAAGAAAUCCUUGGCUCUAAUACAGUCGGGGGAUGACGGUACCGGAAGAAUAAGCACCGGCUAACUACGUGCCAGCAGCCGCGGUAAUACGUAGGGUGCGAGCGUUAAUCGGAAUUACUGGGCGUAAAGCGUGCGCAGGCGGUUUGCUAAGACCGAUGUGAAAUCCCCGGGCUCAACCUGGGAACUGCAUUGGUGACUGGCAGGCUAGAGUAUGGCAGAGGGGGGUAGAAUUCCACGUGUAGCAGUGAAAUGCGUAGAGAUGUGGAGGAAUACCGAUGGCGAAGGCAGCCCCCUGGGCCAAUACUGACGCUCAUGCACGAAAGCGUGGGGAGCAAACAGGAUUAGAUACCCUGGUAGUCCACGCCCUAAACGAUGUCAACUAGUUGUUGGGGAUUCAUUUCCUUAGUAACGUAGCUAACGCGUGAAGUUGACCGCCUGGGGAGUACGGUCGCAAGAUUAAAACUCAAAGGAAUUGACGGGGACCCGCACAAGCGGUGGAUGAUGUGGAUUAAUUCGAUGCAACGCGAAAAACCUUACCUACCCUUGACAUGGUCGGAAUCCUGCUGAGAGGCGGGAGUGCUCGAAAGAGAACCGGCGCACAGGUGCUGCAUGGCCGUCGUCAGCUCGUGUCGUGAGAUGUUGGGUUAAGUCCCGCAACGAGCGCAACCCUUGUCCUUAGUUGCUACGCAAGAGCACUCUAAGGAGACUGCCGGUGACAAACCGGAGGAAGGUGGGGAUGACGUCAAGUCCUCAUGGCCCUUAUGGGUAGGGCUUCACACGUCAUACAAUGGUCGGAACAGAGGGUUGCCAACCCGCGAGGGGGAGCUAAUCCCAGAAAACCGAUCGUAGUCCGGAUUGCACUCUGCAACUCGAGUGCAUGAAGCUGGAAUCGCUAGUAAUCGCGGAUCAGCAUGCCGCGGUGAAUACGUUCCCGGGUCUUGUACUCACCGC
This 1367-nucleotide ribosomal RNA is filed under the name uncultured beta proteobacterium. Its description in RNAcentral is "bacterial SSU rRNA". It matches the Rfam family "Bacterial small subunit ribosomal RNA", at positions 27 to 1393 of the family's 1533-position model. The record is from RNAcentral. Lineage: Bacteria; Pseudomonadati; Pseudomonadota; Betaproteobacteria.